CAGCCCCGGGGCCGGGCGGCUCCCGCUCACCUGCCCAGCUCCCGCGGGGUGGGGCGGAGGGGCCGCCCCGAGUCCGCGGGGCUGCGCGGAGGAGCGGCGGUGUCCCCUCCAGGGAGACCGGGCGGUGGAGAGACGGGGGAAGGGGCAGAGGAAGAGAAGGAGGAGCAGGCAGCCUCAGCGCAGUGAACCACUCAAGAAUGUCUAUGAUGAUGCAGAAGAGUGUGUGAAAACAGCAUAUUUCAGCCGCAUCUUCUUUUGUGGAUCAGCUUCUGCUACUUGCAGCUUCCCUGAAUAGCCCAUAAAGAUAAGAGCAAAGUGUACUGACAGCUUUCCAGUGUACUGACAGCAGAGUCUACUGAAAAGAGAGAGGCAGGUUGAGAAGCUUUGUAAGAGACAUGGGAGUGGGAGGAUGCUGCCUGCAUGAGUCUGUGGUGGUGCAGGAGGACAGCAAAACCUGCUCUGCUUUUGAAAGUCACAACAUGCUGUUCCACAAGACUGUCACUAAGGAGGCCAGGAUAAAAAGCAGUGGGGUUCUGUACUCCCAGCUAGGGUGGAUGUGCAGCGUUGUAGCAGAUGCUCCAGUACACUGCAAAAUAAAAUGCAGUCAGUUCUGCAGAGGGAAGUCUGCUGCCUUUUCACUUCCUCGAAUGGUGAAUCUGAAAUAGUCUGACCUCAGCUGGGCCACUCAACCCCAGGUGCAGCAGUGAUGGCCACAGCAAGUCCGACAGGAGAUGAAGCAGACACAGCACAAGGUGGCUCUAAUGAGGUGUGGAGGGGACAGGGGCUUUAUCUCCGUGCUCAGUAUGCAUAGAGGGUGCCAGACAUUGGUUGAUCAGUUAGCCAAGUGAAAUGUGAAUAAUUUUGUAGAUGUUUGUGUUUUAAGUGCAGAAUCAUAUUCAUCCCUCUGUCCAACAGAUUAGAAACUGCUUUCCAGACACUAAGCAUAGGUGCUUCUAGGCACACUGCCUUGUACUGUCAUCAAAUUCUUAAGAUGGGACAUGUGUUGGAGAUUCCAGAUGGUGAGACAAGCUAAAGACACCUGUGUUCUACAUUAAAAAAACAACUCAUAAUUGAACUGACCAGAAAAAAAUAAAGAAAACCAUUGUUAGUCAAA
This is a long non-coding RNA of Lonchura striata (white-rumped munia), 1114 nucleotides long. RefSeq lists it as uncharacterized. The record is from RefSeq and is a predicted model, not a curated record. Lineage: Eukaryota; Metazoa; Chordata; Aves; Passeriformes; Estrildidae.